UUAUACAGACAAAAUAAAGCUUUGUGUACGAACUGACUUAUCAUAUUUGUUACUUGUUCACAAAACAUAAAACAUUGACUUACUUUGUUUCCGAAUCGGUUUAUGUACGAGUUGUCUCAAGGAAAUCUGAUACUCAUGAACGUUUGAAAUUGCACACAGAUGUACCAAAACGUAAACGUUUGAUAAACACUGAAUAAUGAACUAGCGGGAAGAAGUUUGCAUCGACAUGAUCAUCAACAAUUAAGGUGAUGUUGCUGUAAGGCAAAAAUAGCAUGAAUUAGAUUCUUCUGUUCCUGUUCCUAAAAGCAAAAAAAUUCUUGAGAAAAAGGAAAUCCAGAAAUGAUCAGGAAUGUGGUGACAGGUCAGAGUUGGAAAAAUAGUAGAGCCUCUUGUUGUUAGUAAUGCAGCCCGCCAAACCACCAUGAAAGAGACUGAAAUGACUACUGCACAGAUAACAUUUUGAGCUGGACAUUCGGUGAAUUGAGCUGUAGAAACCAAGUGACAGAAAACAUAUCUUUUAGGCCAGGAAAAAUCAAUCUUUAGAUAUUCAAAAUAAUGUCAGGCACUUUAAUUUAUAACUCACCUGAACCUGAAUGCUGUAAAUGAUUAAUUACAAGCACCCCUCCUUCAUAAGUUGAUAGUGAUAGAUAUCAAUCUGGUAUACAAAUUCUUUGAUCUGAAGGUUUAUUUUUCUUAGCCUAAGACCAUUUAAGUGAACAUUGAUACAUUUUUGGGGGAACUCAUUGUAAAGCAUUUUUUUUGGGUGUAAAAAGAAAGAACUUAAACGUCUCAAUAAAGAUUAUUAAAAGUAUUUCAGUUUUUUUUCAUCAAAUUAUUUUCCCUUGUCUUUAAAUAUAUUAUUCUGAUAUCUGUAUCACAGUAUAAUCCCUAUUAACUGCCCCUACCCCUAUUAGCACCCCUUUAGGACUUUUUAAAUUGUCAGGAAAUAAGGGCCCCCUGAACAGUGAUGAAAGUCAUGUAUUUGAUUUUUUUUUUUUCAAAAGAUUUUUUGAAGUUAAAAUAGGACAUUAAAUAUCAAAAAGAGAAAACAAAAAUAACCACCCCAUUUUUGCAAUUUUCUAAGUGCCCGGGGCGGAUAAUAGGGAUUAUACGGUAGUAUAGAAAAUACAUGAGAUAGGCCUUUCGUCUGAAAGGUACCAUUUGCUAGUAUUAUUGAAUAAUGGAAAAGAAGUAUUAAUUUAUUGCUUU
Long non-coding RNA from Saccostrea cuccullata (small rock oyster), 1209 nucleotides. RefSeq lists it as uncharacterized. The transcript is spliced from 3 exons. The record is from RefSeq and is a predicted model, not a curated record. NCBI's taxonomy places the organism in Eukaryota, Metazoa, Mollusca, Bivalvia, Ostreida, Ostreidae.